This 81-nucleotide non-coding RNA is filed under the name Heterosigma akashiwo. The record is from RNAcentral. Lineage: Eukaryota; Raphidophyceae; Chattonellales; Chattonellaceae.
CAAACAUAUAAUAUAUAGAAUAGGGUGCGAAUCUCGUGGUGUAUAUUCUGUAUUUCCAUUCUUUUUCUUUUUCUACUGUUU